This 84-nucleotide transfer RNA is filed under the name Fimbriimonas ginsengisoli Gsoil 348. It matches the Rfam family "tRNA". From Rfam's summary of the family: Transfer RNA (tRNA) molecules are approximately 80 nucleotides in length. Their secondary structure includes four short double-helical elements and three loops (D, anti-codon, and T loops). The record is from Rfam by way of RNAcentral. RNAcentral also lists the same sequence under 2 other names. Lineage: Bacteria; Bacillati; Armatimonadota; Fimbriimonadia; Fimbriimonadales; Fimbriimonadaceae.
GCCCAGGUGGUGAAAUUGGUAGACGCGCUGGCUUCAGGUGCCAGUGUCCGCAAGGACGUGAAGGUUCGAGUCCUUUCCUGGGCA